UACUCCCUGCAAAUUAAUUCAACUUUCUCAUCACCACAUCUUGAGAUAGCACUGACCCAGGUGGAGGUGGGCCCGCACCUGGAGAGGUCAGGGAAGGGAGACCGUGAAGAAGCUAACAUCCGGGCCUGUGGCUGGUGUGGGAGUGGACGAUGUUCCCAUGGGUCCGCCUCAGUUGGGGUCUGUACAGGGGUCUGGGAGAGAGUAGGAGUCUUGCCCCUGGCUACCCACAAACCCCUCCCUCCACGGGCGCCCACAGGGUAGUGCCUGAGUGUGCGUGUUGGGGAGUCGGAUGUGCCCUCUAGAUUAGAUGAGGACUGUUCAUGGGUGCGGCCACCCGGAGCCGCUGGGAGCGGGACAGAAGGUGGU
This 366-nucleotide long non-coding RNA is filed under the name Pan troglodytes (chimpanzee). RNAcentral's name for it is "long non-coding RNA NONPTRT006067". Lineage: Eukaryota; Metazoa; Chordata; Mammalia; Primates; Hominidae. The record is from RNAcentral.